Molecule: long non-coding RNA, 1735 nt
Organism: Episyrphus balteatus (marmalade hoverfly)
Lineage: Eukaryota; Metazoa; Arthropoda; Insecta; Diptera; Syrphidae
Exons: 3
Source: RefSeq, a predicted model, not a curated record
UUGUUUUUUAUUCAGGCGCCAAGAAGAAAUUAUCCUUGAAAAGCAAAUAUUUUCCCGUCACGCUGGAUAAAAACACAAAGAACAAAAAAUAACCUAACAACAAAAACGGAAAAAAAAUGUAAAGUCUCAGAACUUCCUGAUGUCAAAAUAAAAGAGAAUCCUUUCAUUUUUUUGUGUUUGGUUCACUGUGAAACAACAAACCGUAGAAAAAAGGAUUGUGGAACAACAGGUUGCGCACAAAGAAAAAAAAAAUAAACUUAAAAAAAUCGUAUCUUUUGUAUCAAAAGAAAAAAAGGAAGCAGUUAAGGUUUACUCAAAUAAGCUCUGUAGCUAAGGAAAAACAGGACCAGUUUGUUUCAAGAUAAAAUGGAGAAUCAUCCAUUUUCGGAGAAGUUCUUUAAAUAGAAUUUCUUAAAACCAGUCAGGACUUCUUCUUAAUGCAGAAUAUAAAAAAAAAUAUACAAAACACAGUCCUGAUGCUGCUCUCUGGUGGAUUUCUGGGGAUGUAAGAAAGUUCUCUUCUUUGGUUCUUUGUGUGCGCCUUCGUUUGAUAAAUUCAUGUAAAUUACUUUAGGGGGUACGGAACGUAUACAUUAGCUCACCGUUAAUGAUAUACCGAAGGUGUAGCUCCUUCUUCUUUUUCUUGGCAACUUCCUUGGGCAACAGGAAUAAGAAAAAAAAAAAAAAAAAAAAAACAAAGCCAGAAAACAGAUUCUACCCAAGGACAUCUUAAGCCCUGACUAGGAUAUCCUUUAUUUCAUACUCUGUGCAGUUUGAAAUAGAGCACCCCCAACAACGUAGGAAGAAAAAAAAGAAUUACCAUGUAAAUUGCCCACGAAAAUUGAGAAAACGAACGAACCUCCAUCAAAUACAAAAAUCAAAAGCAAACAGGAUGACAAAGAAAAAAAAAACUGAAACGAAAAAAAAAAAAAAUUAAUCAAAAAGAAAAACGAUAAAAAAAAACAGAAUCGUGCAGUGAUUACAAAAUACAUAACAAACAUUUUGGCGCCAUCUAAAAUAGGAAAAGUUUAACAACAACAAGAAAAAAAGAAAGAAAAAAAAACUUAUAACAGUAAUCGAGAUUUGCGACGGAUUCGCCAUCAGGGUAUUUUUUAACCACCCCCGCAUCCCAACUUCAAAAAAAUAUUUUUACAAAGGCUAAAAAUUCAUUAAAAGAAUGUUUGAAACGGAUUUGUGUCUAUAAGGACUGAGUCGGGAUUUUUUCCAGGAAAGCAACAAAAAAAAAAAGAAAAGAAAAAAAACAUAACCAAAGAGAGACAAAUUGGUAAAUUAUUUAAAAAGUUAUCACGCAAAUUUCGCAGAAUCCAUAUCAGGAGCGGAUAUUGUCUUUUUUUAAAUCUUUAAGGACACAGUGCGGGCAUACUCAAUUUUCAAAAUCUCGAAUCGAACUUUUGACCUCAAGAUUUUCAAGUUAAUAAAGGUCUUAAGGACAUUAAUGAUAUUGGCUUCGUCUGUCCCGAGUGUAGAAGUUUAUAACAAAAGGGGUCAUAGAGGGUCAACUGGACCCAUUGUCCCCUCAAAACCCGUUCAUGGAUAUUUGUUGCCCUUUUUGCAAAAAUAUUUUCGUAUUCGUACACAAUAUGCCAUCGCCACCACACAAUCACCACUUAGCAAAAAGUACAAGAAAAGGACAUUGAAGGAGAACAACACCAUUUAAGGUUUUUACAUUGUACCAGUACCACUCGAGCAAUCUGAUUAAAUAAUAUUUAUUGGA